GACGAACGCUGGCGGCGUGCCUAAUACAUGCAAGUAGAACGCUGAAGGAGGAGCUUGCUUCUCUGGAUGAGUUGCGAACGGGUGAGUAACGCGUAGGUAACCUGCCUGGUAGCGGGGGAUAACUAUUGGAAACGAUAGCUAAUACCGCAUAAUAGUAGAUGUUGCAUGACAUUUGCUUAAAAGGUGCAAUUGCAUCACUACCAGAUGGACCUGCGUUGUAUUAGCUAGUUGGUGGGGUAACGGCUCACCAAGGCGACGAUACAUAGCCGACCUGAGAGGGGGAUGGGCCACACUGGGACUGAGACACGGCCCAGACUCCUACGGGAGGCAGCAGAAGGGAAUCUUCGGCAAUGGACGGAAGUCUGACCGAGAAACGCAGCGUGAGUGAGAAGGUUUUCGGAUCGUAAAGCUCUGUUGUAAGAGAAGAACGAGUGUGAGAGUGGAAAGUUCACACUGUGACGGUAUCUUACCAGAAAGGGACGGCUAACUACGUG
Molecule: ribosomal RNA, 494 nt
Filed under: uncultured bacterium
Lineage: Bacteria
Description: partial 16S ribosomal RNA
Rfam family: Bacterial small subunit ribosomal RNA
Source: RNAcentral